Molecule: long non-coding RNA, 458 nt
Filed under: Camarhynchus parvulus
Lineage: Eukaryota; Metazoa; Chordata; Aves; Passeriformes; Thraupidae
Description: lncRNA (ENSCPVG00000003690.2)
Source: RNAcentral
AGCUCCGUGAUUGAUGACCCACCCGCCCGGGAAGGGGCGGUCGCUGUCGCCCAGGCUGGAGGGGGGAGCCCGGAGACCAGGUGCGACACAGCCCCGCCGCACCCACCGGUCGCGACGGCUUAAAAACACCGCGGCCGGACGGGACGGGACGGGACGAAGGCGCCGGAACCUCGGCAGCGGGUGGGAGCGGCCCAGGAUUUUAUUUCAUAUAGAUGUGAAGCUCCUAAACCAGAAACUCCUAUUUCUAAGGGCACCCAAGGAGAUGAGGUUUUUAGCCAGGCUGUCACAGGAACAGAUACUCCUAACACGUGAAAACCAGGAUCUGGGACACCCACGAGGGCUGCUUGGCUGAGGACAACAGGAUCAGGACCCUCCCUGCCGGGGAUGGACUGUGGACACUUAGCAGAGAGCAGCGAGGAGAUCUCCAGCCCGGGGGCAGAGCCCGAUUCCUCUGCCGG